This 456-nucleotide ribosomal RNA is filed under the name uncultured bacterium. RNAcentral describes it as "SSU rRNA". It matches the Rfam family "Bacterial small subunit ribosomal RNA", at positions 26 to 518 of the family's 1533-position model. The record is from RNAcentral.
AGGAUGAACGCUGGCGGCGUGCCUAAUACAUGCAAGUCGAGCGGCAGCGCGGUCUUCGGACUGGCGGCGAGCGGCGGACGGCUGAGUAACACGUAGGAACGUACCCCAAAGUGAGGGAUAAGCACCAGAAAUGGUGUCUAAUACCACAUGUGCUCUAAGGAGUAAAGCUUCGGUGCUUUGGGAACGGCCUGCGCAUGAUUAGCUUGUUGGUGAGGUAAUAGCUCACCAAGGCGACGAUCAUUAGCUGGUCUGAGAGGAUGAUCAGCCAGACUGGGACUGAGAACGGCCCAGACUCCUACGGGAGGCAGCAGUAGGGAAUUUUCCACAAUGGGCGAAAGCCUGAUGGAGCAACGCCGCGUGCAGGAUGAAGGCCUUCGGGUCGUAAACUGCUUUAUAUGUGAAGAAUAUGACGGUAGCAUAUGAAUAAGGAUCGGCUAACUCCGUGCCAGCAGCCGC